RNAcentral lists this transfer RNA (73 nucleotides) under Spirochaetota bacterium. RNAcentral describes it as "Spirochaetes bacterium (groundwater metagenome) tRNA-Ala". It matches the Rfam family "tRNA". Rfam says of the family: Transfer RNA (tRNA) molecules are approximately 80 nucleotides in length. Their secondary structure includes four short double-helical elements and three loops (D, anti-codon, and T loops). Further hydrogen bonds mediate the characteristic L-shaped molecular structure. tRNAs have two regions of fundamental functional importance: the anti-codon, which is responsible for specific mRNA codon recognition, and the 3' end, to which the tRNAs corresponding amino acid is attached (by aminoacyl-tRNA synthetases). tRNAs cope with the degeneracy of the genetic code in two manners: having more than one tRNA (with a specific anti-codon) for a particular amino acid; and 'wobble' base-pairing, i.e. permitting non-standard base-pairing at the 3rd anti-codon position. The record is from RNAcentral. Lineage: Bacteria; Pseudomonadati; Spirochaetota.
GGGGCUGUAGCUCACCUGGUAGAGCGCUUGAAUCGCACUCAAGAGGCAGACGGUUCGAUCCCGUUCAGCUCCA